Long non-coding RNA from Oncorhynchus masou masou (cherry salmon), 1248 nucleotides. RefSeq lists it as uncharacterized. The record is from RefSeq and is a predicted model, not a curated record. Lineage: Eukaryota; Metazoa; Chordata; Actinopteri; Salmoniformes; Salmonidae. The transcript has 4 exons.
UUGAGUUACUUUCUAUUACGGUAUCUUUACUUUUACUCAAGAAAAUGAAAAUAAAACAGAAGAAGCAAACAAGGAUAAAACACAUUUGAAAGUGGAACUAAGAUAUUAUCCUUAUUCUGACACUACAUUUGAGUCAGGCAGACCAACCGGAAGCGUUUUUCUCAGAACCUCUUGUGUAUAUAUGCAACAACUAGCAACAGCAAAAUCUAAAAUAAUUUCGAGAUUUAUGACGUGAUGACUUCAGUUUAAAAUUAGAGUAAUGAAUCCUGUCAUUCUCAAAGCUAUGCAUUGCCCACUAAGAGCACAGAAGUCAUGGUCAUGCCGGAGCAAGGGACCGACCAAGAUGUAUGUAGACGCCAUCCUCAAGACCCAUGAGCGAAUUGUUCAGCACACAGAGACAGAUUACCAAGCCCGUUUCAACCUUGGCCAACAUCCAGAGCUAGAGGGACUGAUGGCACAGAUGACCUAGACCUGAGCCCUAGGACCAUGCCCCAGGACUACCUGACAUGAUGACUCCUUGCUGUCCCUAGUCCACCAGGCCGUGCUGCUGCUCCAGUUUCAACUGUUCUGCCUUAUUGUUAUUUGACCAUGCUGGUCAUUUAUGAACAUUUGAACAUCUUGGCCAUGUUCUGUUAUAAUCUCCACCCGGCACAGCCGGAAGAGGACUGGCCACCGCACAUAUGCUCUCUCUAAUUCUCUUUCUUUCUCUCUCUCUGAGGACCUGAGCCCUAGGACCAUGCCCCAGGACUACCUGACAUGAUGACUCCUUGCUGUCCCCAGUCCACCUGGCCGUGCUGCUGCUCCAGUUUCAACUGUUCUGCCUUAUUAUUAUUCGACCAUGCUGGUCAUUUAUGAACAUUUGAACAUCUUGGCCAUGUUCUGUUAUAAUUUCUACCCAGCACAGCCAGAAGAGGACUGGCCACCCCACAUAGCCUGGUUCCUCUCUAGGUUUCUUCCUAGGUUUUGGCCUUUCUAGGGAGUUUUUCCUAACCACCGUGCUUCUACACCUGCAUUGCUUGCUGUUUGGGGUUUUAGGCUGGGUUUCUGUACAGCACUUUGAGAUAUCAGCUGAUGUACGAAGGGCUAUAUAAAUAAAUUUGAUUUGAUUUGUUCACCCCACCCUUUUACCUCAACUGUCAUCAUACUUCUUCUGACAUCUACCGUUUCAUCUUUUUUUCAUCACGUUUUUUUUUAUAUAAAUUAAUUUUGGAUGAAUGUAGGACAUAUACUUUGCUGUUGUAGCUUCAA